CGUUAACAAAGGAAAUCUCAGCCAUGAACUUCUUAGUUUAUUAAAUGCUCCACCAGAGAGGAGAACACGCUGGAUCACUGUUACACCACACCAAUACCCCCAUGUGAGACAAAAUAAAGCCCAAUAGAUGAUUCAAUUAAAAUCAACUCAAUGUUUAUUCUAUAACAUAACCUAAAACACAUGCAAAAUUCUUAUUCUAACAUUCUCAACUAUUGGGCAAAACAAUAGUAAUCUCAGCAAUCACUGAAGAGACAAGCAGUUUAAGGCAUUUGGAAUGCCUCUAGAUUCGACUUUCUUCACACGAGUGAGGAAGGAUUUGAUACUUUAUCAUAAGUCAUCUUGAAUACAGUCUGAUGUCGAGCCAUCCUCGAUCUGUAGCGAGCUACAGGCUCCCCCUCUAAUGUGCUCAUUGUAUAAUGUGGAGUGUUCAUUUACGAUUAUUUUUGACUACAAUCUACGAGGUGUUUCCUUUUGACAUAGAAUCUUGCCCUAUUGGAUACCACAGUAUGUGUUGGAUCCUAAAUUAUAUGAGGAAUCUUUAAUUGCUUCUCUAACAUGUUUUAUCUUACAAUCACAUCAGUGGAUUGCCACGGCCUCUUAUUGCCUCUAAAAACUGUUGCUCUUGGCUCACUCAAUUGCCCUGCACUUCUUUAUUACAUGAAAAAUCUUUUUAAAGUGAAUUAUUCAUUUAUUUUACCUUCGGGCUUCUCUUCCCAUUAAUUCUAGACACAUACCUGUUUAUGAGUUGGACCGGAUGAGUAGUCGUUGAUCCUAGUAAUUUAUGCAAUUAUUAUCCCAACACAUGCGACAGCUGGGGUGUAAUGUGUUCUCUGGUAAGUAGCUGGCUGGUUCUGGCAGACGAAGCCAACACCGGGAGUCUCUCGCUUGUUGCAUCUGUGACAGCUGUGAGUAAAGUGUGACCCAAACUGUGAGGAGCAGUAAAGUACGUGGCAAUGGCAGAUCGGCGCGUUGGCUUUUCAUUGAACAGCUUUAACGUUUAACAAGAUUGUCUUCAUCAACAUUAUCAUUAUAUGUUUCAGAAUUAUUUUAAGGGUUGUAUUGAAACGGAACGCUCUGUUGCUGUAUCCUUGGACUUUCCAGCUUUGUUUCUGCACAGUUUAAAUGAAAUCAGUUAAAAUGUCUAUGGGAAGUUCCUAGAACUCUUUUCCAUGUAGGGCCCCUAUAACCACUUCCUCAUAUACUAACUAAUCAAAUUCUCUAGCUUUUUUAAUGUAGUAAAUACAACUGAAAUGUACUCUUAAUAGGUGGAUUGUGACACUUAAAUAUAUGUAAACCAUGUCAGUGAAGCCUAAAAAAUGAAGUGAUAACUUACAUCAUUAUAAAUAGAAACAAGAUAUGUCUUGAUUGAAAGUCAAUUGGUUCAGCAAUACAAGAGUCAGGUUGAGAAAAAUGGAAAUAUAACAGUAAUGUUAAGAUAAGAUUUUUUUCUUACAUAAGAUACAUAGCAACACAUCAGAGACUGGAUGCAUGGUGGAAAUACUAGGGCAAAAUCAUUUUUUUUUUCGAUUUCACUUUUAAGUUGAGAGCUUUUUUACUUAGAAUUUCGCUAGGUGUCGAUCCAUAAUUUAGAAAAUACUGUCAACAGUAAUAAAAUAUGAACAACUCCCUCGGUAAAACAGUCAGAUUAAAGAUAGGAAUGAAACUGGAAAGUUGGUGUAUGUAGGUUUUGUAAAAUCUAAUUUAUUUUGAAGAAACUACAGGUAAAAAAUGAAUAUCACAAUAAAAUGUUGUUUACUUACAUGAAGUUAUUUAUUUUGUUUUAUACAAUUUUGAUUAAAUGUAUAAAUGCAAUGAGGCGUUAUAUAACUGCAGCUUUUGGUGAAUAAUCUACAGAGACAAAUUAUUAAAAUGUGCCGGUCUGGAAAAAGAAAAUCUUAAUGGCAUCUUUUUUAGCUCACAGGCCUGAUUAAAGAAUAAUUACUGUUCAACAACCUUUUUGUUUACAAUCAUAAUUAAAAAAAAUGAAUUGAUUUGUGGAAGAAAUGGAUGAGUGAAAAUUAAUUGAAUUGAUCCAGCAGUGAGACUUUGAUGUUGAUGAUUUGAUCUGUUUGAUAUGGCUGAAUUAAACAUAUUUGGAUGUUUUUCCAGAAACAUCAAGAUAUUUACCCACCAGACUGUUAUUACUAUUCUAUCAUAUGCCAAUUUAAACAUACAUUCACUACUGGAUAGGCUCAGACAAAUAAUACGUUAAAAAUAUUGGAGAGGACGUUUGAGCCUCCUUUUUCAUUUCUGGGAACUAAUUAAUACUGAAAUGUAAGACUGUUGACAGCUUUGAAUAUUAUCUAACUAUAACUAUAUAACAUAGAGCAAACAAUUCAUGUAGUUAUCAUAGAACAGUAAUUUAAGAGAUUAAUAUAAAUGAAAGAAAUGGAUUUAGUUAUCGUGCUGUACUGAGCGAGUCCCCAGAGCAACAGCCCAACUGGCUCAAACUGAUAUCGAACCUGCACCAUUAAAGCACCACAUCAGCUGAUGUGAUAAACGCCUGACACUCCUAACCAUGUUUGAUUACUGUCCAUUACAUUAAUUAAGGCAACUUGCGUUUAAAGUAUGCAGUAUAUAAAAUGUGCAUACAUUUCCAUCGAAGAAAUAUGGAUGAAGCCAGCUUCAACUCUUUUCAUUUUGUCGGCUGUUUUUCCAGAGGGAAUGUUAAUAUCUUUUUGUAUCACUCCAUAAAUCCGAUUAUACUGACAAGAUAAACAGCUAAAUCCCUCAGAAUAUACACAAAGUUUGUUGUAUGUGAAUGUGACGUGAAAGUGGAGAUUCUGAGUCUGAGAAAAAAACGACUGAGCUGAAACUAGAUUUUGCUGAGUGUGCAGGCCGUCCUGCUAGCUUAGCAUUGUGCUAACACACACUGCUCAUGCAGAGAAUCAGAAGUUGUCAGACGGACCGCCAGUUCUUCUCCCGGAGGCCGAGAACAAUCUCGAAGCAACAUAUCCAACACACACAGAGAAAAAAACAGAAAAACACAACGCUGACCGUCGCCACGGAGACACACUGACAAGACGCACGGUGGGACAGACGAGGGGACAACCAUGGAUCGUCACAAGGAAGAGCAAAAGAACAUUGCAAUGCAGUACAGAUCAAAGAAGGGGUGUUUUUUCUGGAGGGUGGGGGUGUGUGGCAUCCUGACAGUCCUCCGUGGGCCGGCGGGUGUAUGUGGGAGAGAGGUGGGCGGGGAAGGGGGGAUUGCGGCUGGUGUUUGGCGAAGAGAGGACUCUCCUCGACUACGCGUAUUCUUAAGCAAUAACAACGUGAUCCGUAUUAUCCACCCAAGAAUACCCGUCACCGAAGAGAGUCUUUCAGUGAACCCGGGGGGAGCUAAGCCGCAAACUGCGUGAGCGGCGGCGGCGGCGCCGCCACUGCCGCCCUUGCGUCACCAUUGCCAUUGUCACCAUGGCCAUCGGCGCCGCCAUCAGCAGCCACCCUUCAGUCCCCCUCGUGCCACAUAGACACAGACACACAGGCAGAGAGAGUGGGGCAGUGGCGUCCAUUGAAGACGAGGCGAGGUUCCACCAACGGUUCCUC
Molecule: long non-coding RNA, 3546 nt
Organism: Gasterosteus aculeatus aculeatus (three-spined stickleback)
Lineage: Eukaryota; Metazoa; Chordata; Actinopteri; Perciformes; Gasterosteidae
Source: Ensembl